RNAcentral lists this ribosomal RNA (413 nucleotides) under uncultured bacterium. Its description in RNAcentral is "bacterial SSU rRNA". It matches the Rfam family "Bacterial small subunit ribosomal RNA", at positions 119 to 518 of the family's 1533-position model. The record is from RNAcentral.
GGGUGACAUACCCUUCAGAUGGGGAUAGCUAUUAGAAAUAGUAGAUAAUACCGAAUACGAGCACAGGGGUUAGAGAUCUGUAGAGGAAAGGAGCUAAGGCUCCGCUGAAGGAAUGGCCUGCGGCCCAUUAGCUAGUGGUGAGGUAAGAGCCCACCAAGGCGAUGAUGGGUAUCCGGCCUUAGAGGGUGAACGGACACAUUGGGACUGAGAUACGGCCCAGACUCCUACGGGGAGGCAGCAGCUAAGAAUAUUCCGCAAUGGACGAAAGUCUGACGGAGCGACGCCGCCGUGGAUGAAGAAGGCCGGAAGGUUGUAAAAUCCUUUUGAAACUGAAGAAUAAGCGUUGUAGGGAAUGACAGCGUGGUGACAGUAGGUUUUGAAUAAGCAACGGCUAAUUACGUGCCAGCCGCGGC